CGGUACGUACUGGCAUCGUCGGUUUCUCCCUUCUGACGAACCAUGAUGUCAUUUAUUUGGUGUUGUGGGGAAUCAGGACUGUUACUUUGAAAAAAUUAGAGUCGUUUAAAGCAGGCUCACGCUUGAAUACAUUAGCAUGGAAUAAUGAAAUAGGACGUUUGAUUCUAUUUUGUUGGUUUCUAGGAUCGACGUAAUGAUUAAUAGGGAUGGUUGGGGGCAUUAGUAUUCAAUUGUCAGAGGUGAAAUUCUUGGAUUUAUUGAAGACUAACUACUGCGAAAGCAUUUGCCAAGGAUGUUUUCAUUAAUCAAGAACGAAAGUUAGGGGAUCGAAGACGAUCAGAUACCGUCGUAGUCUUAACCAUAAACUAUGCCGACUAGGGAUCGGAUGAUGUUAAUUUUUUAAUGACUCAUUCGGCGCCUUACG
RNAcentral lists this ribosomal RNA (424 nucleotides) under uncultured Glomeromycotina. RNAcentral describes it as "SSU rRNA". It matches the Rfam family "Eukaryotic small subunit ribosomal RNA", at positions 671 to 1092 of the family's 1831-position model. The record is from RNAcentral. Lineage: Eukaryota; Fungi; Glomeromycota.